UACGAAGGGGGCUAGCGUUGUUCGGAAUCACUGGGCGUAAAGGGCGCGUAGGCGGGGAGGUAAGUCGGGUGUGAAAUCCCUCGGCCCAACCGAGGAACUGCGCCCGAGACUGCUUCUCUUGAGUCCCGGAGAGGAAGAUGGAAUUCCCGGUGUAGCGGUGAAAUGUGUAGAGAUCGGGAGGAACACCGGUGGCGAAGGCGGUCUUCUGGACGGUGACUGACGCUGAGGCGCGAAAGCGUGGGGAGCAAACGGG
Molecule: ribosomal RNA, 253 nt
Filed under: uncultured bacterium
Lineage: Bacteria
Description: partial 16S ribosomal RNA
Rfam family: Bacterial small subunit ribosomal RNA
Source: RNAcentral